UUAAGACCUCGGAUCAGGUAGGGAUACCCGCUGAACUUAAGCAUAUC
This 47-nucleotide ribosomal RNA is filed under the name Alternaria sp. Its description in RNAcentral is "partial 28S ribosomal RNA". The record is from RNAcentral. Lineage: Eukaryota; Fungi; Ascomycota; Dothideomycetes; Pleosporales; Pleosporaceae.